AACGAACGCUGGCGGCAUGCCUAACACAUGCAAGUCGAACGAGACCUUCGGGUCUAGUGGCGCACGGGUGCGUAACGCGUGGGAACCUGCCCUUAGGUUCGGAAUAACUCCCCGAAAGGGGUGCUAAUACCGGAUAAUGUCUUCGGACCAAAGAUUUAUCGCCUUUGGAUGGGCCCGCGUUGGAUUAGCUAGUUGGUAGGGUAAAAGCCUACCAAGGCGACGAUCCAUAGCUGGUCUGAGAGGAUGAUCAGCCACACUGGGACUGAGACACGGCCCAGACUCCUACGGGAGGCAGCAGUGGGGAAUAUUGGACAAUGGGCGAAAGCCUGAUCCAGCAAUGCCGCGUGAGUGAUGAAGGCCUUAGGCUUGUAAAGCUCUUUUACCCGGGAUGAUAAUGACAGUACCGGGAGAAUAAGCUCCGGCUAACUCCGUG
This 433-nucleotide ribosomal RNA is filed under the name uncultured bacterium. RNAcentral's name for it is "partial 16S ribosomal RNA". It matches the Rfam family "Bacterial small subunit ribosomal RNA", at positions 29 to 507 of the family's 1533-position model. The record is from RNAcentral.